AUACAUGCAUCUUAUAAACCCAAAAAAUGAUGGAUACUAACCUUCAUUUGAUCGGGAAAGGCCUCCAGGGGCUCUGAAUGCAGAACAACUGUCAAAUUUGAACGGAGGAAGAACAACGAUGUCAAUUCUCACAAGUUUCCAUCUUUUUCGAAGAGGGGAAGAAGAAACUAUUGAAAAAGAGGAGGAUAUAGAAAAAAGAAAAAUUAGAGCAGAGGCGGGAAAAAGGCUCCCAAG
Molecule: long non-coding RNA, 234 nt
Filed under: Elaeis guineensis (African oil palm)
Lineage: Eukaryota; Viridiplantae; Streptophyta; Magnoliopsida; Arecales; Arecaceae
Description: long non-coding RNA (EGUI_LNC037898)
Source: RNAcentral